This 72-nucleotide transfer RNA is filed under the name Ictidomys tridecemlineatus (thirteen-lined ground squirrel). Its description in RNAcentral is "Spermophilus tridecemlineatus (thirteen-lined ground squirrel) tRNA". It matches the Rfam family "tRNA". From Rfam's summary of the family: Transfer RNA (tRNA) molecules are approximately 80 nucleotides in length. Lineage: Eukaryota; Metazoa; Chordata; Mammalia; Rodentia; Sciuridae. The record is from Rfam by way of RNAcentral.
UGGGCUGUGGCUCAGUGGUGGAGCGCUUGCCUGGCAUGUGUGAGGCACUGGGUUUGAUCCUCAGCACCACAU